This 450-nucleotide ribosomal RNA is filed under the name uncultured bacterium. Its description in RNAcentral is "partial 16S ribosomal RNA". It matches the Rfam family "Bacterial small subunit ribosomal RNA", at positions 354 to 796 of the family's 1533-position model. The record is from RNAcentral.
GUGGGGAAUCUUCCGCAAUGGACGAAAGUCUGACGGGGCAACGCCGCGUGAACGAUGACGGCCUUCGGGUUGUAAAGUUCUGUUAUACGGGACGAAUGGUACGACGGCCAAUACCCGUCGUAAGUGACGGUACCGUAAGAGAAAGCCACGGCUAACUACGUGCCAGCAGCCGCGGUAAUACGUAGGUGGCAAGCGUUGUCCGGAAUUAUUGGGCGUAAAGGGCGCGCAGGCGGCGUCGUAAGUCGGUCUUAAAAGUGAGGGGCUUAACCCCGUGAGGGGGCCGAAACUGCGAUGCUAGAGUAUCGGAGAGGAAAGCGGAAUUCCUAGUGUAGCGGUGAAAUGCGUAGAUAUUAGGAGGAACACCAGUGGCGAAAGCGGCUUUCUGGACGACAACUGACGCUGAGGCGCGAAAGCCAGGGGAGCAAACGGGAUUAGAAACCCCGGUAGUCC